AUUGAACGCUGGCGGCAGGCCUAACACAUGCAAGUCGAACGGUAACAGGAAGCAGCUUGCUGCUUUGCUGACGAGUGGCGGACGGGUGAGUAAUGUCUGGGAAACUGCCCGAUGGAGGGGGAUAACUACUGGAAACGGUAGCUAAUACCGCAUAACGUCGCAAGACCAAAGAGGGGGACCUUAGGGCCUCUUGCCAUCGGAUGUGCCCAGAUGGGAUUAGCUAGUAGGUGGGGUAACGGCUCACCUAGGCGACGAUCCCUAGCUGGUCUGAGAGGAUGACCAGCCACACUGGAACUGAGGCCCGGUCCAGACUCCUACGGGAGGCAGCAGUGGGGAAUAUUGCACAAUGGGCGCAAGCCUGAUGCAGCCAUGCCGCGUGUAUGAAGAAGGCCUUCGGGUUGUAAAGUACUUUCAGCGGGGAGGAAGGGAGUAAAGUUAAUACCUUUGCUCAUUGACGUUACCCGCAGAAGAAGCACCGGCUAACUCCGUG
RNAcentral lists this ribosomal RNA (490 nucleotides) under uncultured bacterium. RNAcentral's name for it is "partial 16S ribosomal RNA". It matches the Rfam family "Bacterial small subunit ribosomal RNA", at positions 30 to 507 of the family's 1533-position model. The record is from RNAcentral.